Molecule: ribosomal RNA, 587 nt
Filed under: Muraenidae sp. KY17-483
Lineage: Eukaryota; Metazoa; Chordata; Actinopteri; Anguilliformes; Muraenidae
Description: partial 16S ribosomal RNA
Rfam family: Bacterial large subunit ribosomal RNA
Source: RNAcentral
AACAUCGCCUCUUGCUAACACUUAAAUAUUAGAGGUCCCGCCUGCCCUGUGACAGCAAUGUUUAACGGCCGCGGUAUCCUAACCGCGCGAAGGUAGCGUAAUCACUUGUCUUUUAAAUGGAGACCUGUAUGAAUGGCAUAACGAGGACUUAACUGUCUCCUUUCCCUGGUCAAUGAAAUUGAUUUACCCGUGCAGAAGCGGGUAUAAUAACAUAAGACGAGAAGACCCUAUGGAGCUUUAGGCAAAUGACCAAGUACACCAAGCCCUUCCUAGCAUCAAGCUCGGGAAAACAAAAACCUUUGGUCAAGAUGCCUUCGGUUGGGGCGACCGUGGAGGAGAAAAAAGCCUCCAUGUAGCACGGAAAAACCCUUAAACUAAGAUAUUACACAUCUAAGCAUCAGAAACUCUGACUAAAUAUGACCCAGUAUUAACCUGAUCAACGAACCUAGUUACCCUAGGGAUAACAGCGCAAUCCCCUCCCAGAGUUCAUAUCGACGAGGGGGUUUACGACCUCGAUGUUGGAUCAGGACAUCCUAAUGGUGCAGCCGCUAUUAAGGGUUCGUUUGUUCAACGAUUAAUAGUCCUAC